GAAAUGCGAUAAGUAAUGUGAAUUGCAGAAUUCUGUGAAUCAUCGAAUCUUUGAACGCACAUUGCGCCCUCUGGCAUUCCGGGGGGCAUGCCUGUCCGAGCGUCAUUACGCACCCUCAAGCCCGGCUUGUGUGAUGGGCCCUGGCGUCUCGUUCGCGAGACGGGCCCGAAAGGCAGCGGCGGCGUCGACCCGAUGAGCCCGAGCGUAUGGGGACUUUUGUCACACGUUUGCGGUGCGGACCGGCGCCUGCUUGACUUUUCUGAUUAUCCAGGUUGACCUCGGAUCAGGUAGGGAUACCCGCUGAACUUAAGC
Molecule: unclassified non-coding RNA, 312 nt
Filed under: plant metagenome
Description: partial contains 5.8S ribosomal RNA, internal transcribed spacer 2, and large subunit ribosomal RNA
Rfam family: 5.8S ribosomal RNA (bases 1-105)
Source: RNAcentral